UGCCAGCAGCCGCGGUAAUACAGAGGGUGCAAACGUUGUUCGGAAUCACUGGGCAUAAAGCGCACGUAGGCGGCCAGGUAAGUGUGAAGUGAAAUCCCACGGCUCACCCGUGGAACUGCUUCGCAUACUGCUUGGCUCGAGGAAGGUAGGGGAGAGCAGAACUCUUGGUGGAGCGGUGAAAUGCGUAGAUAUCAAGAGGAAUACCAGUGGCGAAGGCGGCUCUCUGGUCCUUUCCUGACGCUGAGGUGCGAAAGCUAGGGUAGCGAACGGGAUUAGAUA
Molecule: ribosomal RNA, 279 nt
Filed under: uncultured bacterium
Lineage: Bacteria
Description: partial 16S ribosomal RNA
Rfam family: Bacterial small subunit ribosomal RNA
Source: RNAcentral